UACGAAGGGGACUAGCGUUGUUCGGAAUCACUGGGCGUAAAGCGCACGUAGGCGGAUAUGUCAGUCAGGGGUGAAAUCCCGGGGCUUAACCUCGGAACUGCCUUUGAUACAGCAUAUCUUGAGUCCGAUAGAGGUGGGUGGAAUUCCUAGUGUAGAGGUGAAAUUCGUAGAUAUUAGGAAGAACACCGGUGGCGAAGGCGGCCCACUGGAUCGGUACUGACGCUGAGAUGCGAAAGCGUGGGGAGCAAACAGG
This 253-nucleotide ribosomal RNA is filed under the name uncultured bacterium. RNAcentral's name for it is "partial 16S ribosomal RNA". It matches the Rfam family "Bacterial small subunit ribosomal RNA", at positions 524 to 776 of the family's 1533-position model. The record is from RNAcentral.